RNAcentral lists this long non-coding RNA (6609 nucleotides) under Citrus maxima (pomelo). RNAcentral's name for it is "long non-coding RNA (CMAX_LNC003955)". The record is from RNAcentral. Lineage: Eukaryota; Viridiplantae; Streptophyta; Magnoliopsida; Sapindales; Rutaceae.
GUGUCCACCACUUGAUCCAAAAAUGAUCCAUCAAAAAGUUUUAGGCAUACAAUUAGAUGCAUUCAGAGUAUAAUUGUAGUAAGCAGACCAAAUUAAAAUGCGGAUUAUUAGUUAAAUAAACAGACACGUAGUCCCGUGGAGAUUUAGAAAAGGAAAAAUAAAAGUCGUACGAAUCAAGCAGUGGAGUGCUCCAACUUAAGUGGAACUGGUGGAAUGCUUUGUUCAUGCCUGAAGAUGUUAUCAGGAUCAACUUUGGUCUUCACUCUGACCAAUCUGUUGAAAUUAUCUUUGAAAUACUUAAUGCCCCAAGCACUAGCCUCAGUGUAGCUUGUGUUAAAUUUCUUGUUGAUACCCAAAUCAAGAUCCCUGUAAUUCACGUAUGCAGCUCUGGGGAACAUUGAAACAUAAGGAGCCAUGUAGUCAUAUAGCCUCCUAAUCCACCCAAUAUGUUUUGUUGCAUUCUUUUCGUCCCCAUCUUUCCAGGCAUUCAUGUACUGGAUUGUGAAUAUGUUCCCCUUUCUAUGAGGGAAAGCAAUCUCAGAUUCUGAAAUCUUGCUCAUUAUUCCACCAUAAGGAUUCCAUAAUAUUAUUGGAAUAUCUUCUUCUAGUACCAUUUUCCAUAGCCCUUCAAGCACAGUUUCGGGAACGGGCUCUUGGACAAAGUCUAAUUUGGCUUUGAAAUAGUUCUUGCCUAAAGACUGUACAUCAAGUAGAAUUUCAGGUUCCGUGUUAUUUGGGUAGCCAGCAAAGUAAAGCACUGACCUGAUCCAGCUUGUUUCAAUGCAAUCGUUUCGCGUCAAUCCCAAUUCAGGAAACCUCUUAUGCAUUACCUGUUGGAGCCUCUCAGAGUCACCAAGAAACAGGGCAUUGUAUGAUGUUGUUACAGUUUUCUUGCCUUUUGGGCCUGCAUUUGCCAAUUGUAUGAUGACUCUAAUGAAGAGAUCCUCAUCAAGCUUAUCCGCAACUUGUUGCCAUUUGUAAAGAAUCUUUGUGGCACCUUGUUCCAGGGUCUUGCUAACCGUAAAAACUGUCACAGUUGCUGGCACGGGAACUAGUUUUACCUUCCAGGCAAGUAUGAUUCCAAAGCUACCUCCCCCGCCACCUCGAAUAGCCCAAAAUAAAUCUUCGCCCAUGGCUUCUCUGUCAAGAAUCCUGCCGCGAGCGUCAACAAUUCUUGCAUCAACAACAUUAUCAGCAGCAAGGCCAUAUUUUCUCAUCAUGGUACCAUAGCCCCCUCCUGUGAUGUGCCCUCCACUGCCUACACUAGGGCAAAGACCAGCAGUAAAGCCCUGAGUAUUGCUUUUCUCCGCAAUUCGGUAAUACAGCUCACCAAUUGUGGCACCAGCCUGAACCCAAGCGGUUUUAUCGUUAAUAUCAACUUCAAUGGAUCUAAGCUUGGCAAGGUCUAAAAGAAAGAAAGGUGUUUCAAUUUGUGAUACAUAAGAAAGGCCCUCAUAAUCAUGGCCUCCGCUUCGAAUUCUUAGAUGAAUCCUUAGAUCUCUGGAGCAAAUAACGGCUGCUCGGACAUGGGAUUCAUUCAAUGGAGUGAAUAUAAACUCAGGCUUUGGCAUUGAAGGCACCAAGUACCUGAGGUUUUGAGCAGAAGAUUCAAGGACCGACAAAAAUGAAGAGUUGUUUGGAGUGUAGAAAUUUGAAAAAGGAAUGUAAACCUCGGAAUUAAUUGUGAGGCAUUUGAUAAAAUUAUCUAAAACUGAGAUUGAAGUUGUCCCUGAAGCUGAUAACAGAAGAACUGAAAUUAGUGGAAGAAUGCACUUGCUUGAAGGCAUCAUUUCUUUAGAAGUUCAGGAAUUAGGAGCUUGAGCAAUCAUAUAUAAUUUGGCUGCCUCUCCAUUAAUCCACGUGUUUGAUGUACCAUAUUAAAAUUUUCAUGUACCAUAUUAAAAAUUGUUCGAGAGGGCCGGAAGACAAAACUAAGCGAAGAGAGCUGGGCAAUACCUCAUGGGGAGCAGAUAGUAAAUUUCGUUCAAGUUUGAUGUACCAUAUUAAAAUUGCUUAAGCUAGACUCUGUCUUCUUUCACUUAUUGCUUUCCAGCUUUUAGAAAGGAUUAAAAAAUUCGGACCUGGCACAGAAGAAAGAAGAUGCUAUAUAAAAAGAUUAAACUGGAGAAAAAAGCGACAGAAUGCUGCCGUUUCACGUGUUACUUCCUUUUUUUUUUGCUCACAACACUUAAUAAAAUAAAUUUUUUAAGUAGAAAAAAAUAAGAAUAAGUGAUUAAAAAUUUUGUAACGUUUUUGUCCAGUAAAAAAAAUUUCUAACAAUUUAAAUAUAUAUAAAACACAUCCAGCAAUUUUUAUAAAUUUAAUCCAUUAUUUUCUAACAAUUUGAACUAAAAAAAUUCCAAUAAUUCAAAUAUAUAAACACAAUUAUAUUUGAAUGUAAUGGGAAAGAGAAAGUUAACAAUUAUUCGGUUAUAAUUUUAUCAAUUUUGUUGGCAUGGUCUUUAGCACCAAAUUCAUAUCUCCGAAUGCAGAUUUUUGGGAUAAUGGUCGUUGGUUUUAUUUCAUUUUUCUUCUAUUAAUGCAAACACAUAUAUGAGUUCGUCAGAUUUGGCUUCGUCGGGUUUAGGGGAUAACGGCGUUUUUUGGUCUUUUAUCAUUACUUUCUUACUUUAAUGUUUAUUUUUCAUUAUUUUAAUUUUUUAAAUGAAAAAAGAAACGAAAGAAUGAUGACAGUAACGACAACCGUAUUUUCAUUAUUUUAAUUUUUUAAAUAAAAAAAUGAACAAAAGUAUAAUUUACGGAAAUGGCAGUGCCCGCUGCCAUUUCUGUCGUCCUUCUUUCGCUCAUUGUUUUAGCACUACUGAAAAUUUAAUGUCAUAUUAUCAAAUAUGUCUUUAGUCGGAGUCUCCAAGAUGGACUCUUCUAUCAGAUAAUCGGGUCUCUCAUCUUCUUUUUGCACAGGAAUCAAAUUUCCUUCUCUAUUUUGGUUAAAACAAAAUCCUUGUGAGCAAAUUAAAAUUAUGCAAAAAAUAAAAAAUAAAAAAUUGAAGAAUUGAUCACUGCUAAUGAUACCAAAUUCAACACACAAGAAGUUUAACACAGUUUACUCUAAAUUGAGCUAUUUGCACGAGUUAAAGAUUUUUUAACUGCAAAUGACAACAGGUCUGUAUUGAAUAAGUUUCAUUGCAUGCUUGAUUUCUCACUAACAUAUGAAUAUAUACAAGAGUGGAGUGGUCUCCAAGUUAAGUGCUACACUUAAUCUAACCGUAGGAUGAUGCAGCCUUAUAUCCAACCGUUCACAGUGCUCGUGAUACAGUGUACUGUAUAUGAGGACAAAGUAUUGUCUUUAAAAAUCCAGCUUGCUACAUUUUCUUUAUCAAUAAGGCAUUCAUAACUUAUUCUAGACGUUUCCUCAACAAGGGAGAUGCUGAACAGUGUUAGACCUCUUUGCGUGGGUUGGUGGGCUUCCCUUUGGGCUGGUUAGCUAUAAAGUGAGAGACCAAUCCACUAUAAUAUAAUGAGAGGGAGACAAGAAAAUUUUGGUUUCAAUAGGAGCCAAUGAAAAAUAACAAAACUCAGAGGGCAUAACAUGUUUUAGUUUUAAAAACUUAUCGGGGUAAACGAAUAAUUUUCUUGUGAAAAUAUUAAUUACGAGAUUUAUUUUUAUUUAAAAAAAAGGUAAACCUCAACUAUACAUUUACAAGAAAUCUCUACUAAAAAAAAGAUAUAUGAAAUAUACCACUAUAUAUAAUUACUUGUAUCCAUAUAUAAAAAAAAAUUGCAUAUAAUAAAAGAAUAUAAUAUGUAUUUUAUGGAGAGAUUUAUAGCGAACAAGAGCUAAUCUUUAAAUUCUAACAAAUACAAAUAGAAACUAAGUGGACUUACAAUUUACUAAGCACUUUAGCUAGAAUGACUAAUUUGAUAUUACACCACUCAUUUGCGAAGCUAUAUAAACACACUUGUGAUAUUUUAUGUCACGCAUGAUAGAUGAUACACCAAACUAGUUUAAGUACACUCUUUUUCAAAUCUUUCAAAAAGACUAUAUGUAAUCCUUUACUUAUAGUCUUUUUCAUUGUGGGGGUGGGGGUGGUGGACCGGUGUUGUCCAUUGUUGGCUGUAAUCCCAUGGGUCCAAAAAAACUUUCAAGAAAGAUUAAGGUUUAAUUUGAAAUUUAACUCAUUCCUUUGAAAACCUUAUGUUUUGUCCCUUUUAGUUUACAAGUUUUUAGUUUUUCGCUCCUUAAGUUUGUGUUUCUUCAUUCUGUCCUCAUUGAACUAAAAUCCUGAUUUCGCCGAUAGAUGCUUUAUUCCUUGUUGGACUUUUGUUUAUAUUCCUUAUUUAAUAAACUUGUACUCCUUGGCGCAAUAAACUUAUCUUAUCCUUUAAGUGGGUUAUGUCUAUUGUCAUUUGUUGUGCUAUCCAACUUCUAGAGAAUUUUGUCUUCAGACAGAUAUGGCCUUGAAAUAAUUCUUCAUUAAAUUGUUGCACGAUUAUGUUUAGUUAUUAACGCUCCUUUUUUUUUAAAUAUAAAAUAGAAGUUAAGUUGAUUGUAUCUCAUAGUUGUUUGAUAAAAAAUUUAUAUUAUUUUUAUUUUUUAAAUUAUAAUUUACAAUUAUAUUUAUCAAAUACCAUACACUUUUAUUUUAAAACUAGAGCUUUCAUAACAUUAUAAAUACUAUAAAGUCUGUUUCUUCUUCUAAUUAGGUAUAUAAUCUUUUUCUUUUUCUCCUCAACCCCCCCAAAAAAAAGAAAACCACCUCUUUUGUUAGACCACAGGUAAUAACAUGUAUGCCUACUUCGCACAGGCUGAAAAUGAAACGAGAAUAAUUAUAUAAUAUUAAACUACAUAUAUUUUACAUUAAAAAGAAAUUUAAGGAGAAAAUUGUAUGGAAAUUAAAAGAACUCCCUAUAUCGGGCUCGGCAAUGCUUUCAACCCUCACCUUAUCCAAUUUUAAGAAUUUUUGGACCCUCUAAGUGCAAGUAUAACAUUGCCUGCUUUAAACGUUUAAGAAAACUAGGGGCGCACCUAGAACCUGUGAUCAAUUCAGGUUGUGUGAACAUAGGUGUAUUUAAGAAUGAAGAAUGCAAUAUAAAAUAUAUAUGUGUGUAUAUAUAGUUUUUUUUUAGUGCGAACGCCCUCAUUUUAUUUUUAUGCGGACACUACUUUUAAACCAUGAGAUUUAAGAGAGUUAAUUUUUAACUCUCUUAAACCACACGAUUUUAUAGUUCAUUCAAAAACUAACUAUUUUAAACCAUGCGGUUUAACAGUGUGUCCGCAUGAAAAUAAAAUGAAGGCGUCCGCAUUAAAGAAUGAAGAAGAAUAAUAAUAAUAAUAAUAAUAAAAAGAUUGAUAGCGAUGAUACAACAAAUAAACUUAUAAUAUAAAUUAUUAAAAUUAUACCAUAAAAAUUAUUUUAAAAUCCUUUUUAUUUUUUAUUUUUAUAGAAAAUGUGAAAUCUUUGAAUAAUUUGAUAUAAUGAAAAGAAAAUGAGUAAGCACGGUUGUGAAGGAAAUAAGCCAUGAAAUUAUGAAAAUAUUGUUAAUUUUUACUGUAUGUUAUUUUUUUAAGUACUUUUAAUAUAAGUGACGAUGCUAUAGUACAUUGACAUUUUUUUUCAAUUAAAAUAUUUUAAAAAAAUUAAAGAAGAAAUAACAUUUUAGUCCCUAAUAAUUUUAGUUUAUUCAGUAAACAUAUAAUUUAGUCAUUUUAUAGAAUAAUCACUAAUUCCACUUAAAAAAAUUGAAUCAAGGAUAUAUUUGAAACUAAAAUAAAAAUUCUAUUGUUAUAUAAAAUUGAUGAAAGCAUAAGGGCAAUUGAAUUAGGAAAGUAUAUGAAAACAAAAUGAAAACUCUGUCAUUAUAUCAAAUUAAUAAAACAAUAAGGGAUAUAGAUGAUUUUUCCUGAACUAGAGGUGUGUUGGUUGGCCGCUGAAGAAAUGAAGAAGAAAUUUGUAUUUCACUCUGAAUUUUGUUUACAAUAAUAACAAAAUUUAAAAAAACACCUUAAAACCAAUGCUAAAAAUGAAUAUAAAACAAACAGUUGGUCAAAAUCGUAUAUAUUAACUUGUAAAGCAAUCACACUUAGGAUAAAUAAAUAAAAAUCACCUGAUGAGAAACCCAAUAAUACAAAUUGAAUUUUACCCAAGAAAGUUAGGAGUCUGAAGGUGUGAUGAAACAAAAUUUUCACGCAGUUGGGAUGGGAGUGAGCAUGCACAAGCAAACUUUCCGAGACCCAAAUUGAAAACCAGAUUACCAUUUUGAAAACCACAUGGUGUGUUUCCUUGAUAAAAAAAAAGGGCCAGAUUACUGCAUAUUAUAAAUAAAAUUAUAGUCCGGUGGGGGAUUCAGCAAAGGCUAAAGCAAAACUAACUUUACUACCACUUAAAAUAAUAAAAAUUUUAUGUAAGUCCAAAACUUGGAACUGGUGGAAUGCUUUGUUCAUGCCUGAAAAUAUUAUCUAAUACAAAUUGUACACCAAAAAUAAAAUUCCAAUCAAGCAGUGGUGUGACUGGUGUCCUCCAACCAAAGUGGAACAGGUGGAAUGCUUUGUUCAUGCCUGAAAAUAUUAUCAGGAUCAACUUUGAUCUUCACUCUAACCAAUCUGUUGAAAUUAUCUUUGAAAUACUUAAUACCCCAAGCACUAGCCUC